GUGAUUAUGAAUGGUUGCCUUCUGUGCUGGCUGCGGCAAGUGCACGUUGGUGACUUUCAUCCAACACCCUUGUGAACCUUUGGCCUCUUGCUAGCUUCGGCUGGCUGAGGAUUUACACAAACUCGCAUGUAUUGAGGACCCAUUUUGUGCGCAAGCACUAAUUAUAUA
Molecule: unclassified non-coding RNA, 168 nt
Filed under: uncultured Sebacinales
Lineage: Eukaryota; Fungi; Basidiomycota; Agaricomycetes; Sebacinales
Description: sequence contains ITS1
Source: RNAcentral